This 497-nucleotide ribosomal RNA is filed under the name uncultured bacterium. Its description in RNAcentral is "partial 16S ribosomal RNA". It matches the Rfam family "Bacterial small subunit ribosomal RNA", at positions 28 to 507 of the family's 1533-position model. The record is from RNAcentral.
GAUGAACGCUGGCGGCGUGCCUAAUACAUGCAAGUCGAGCGAACGGACGAGAAGCUUGCUUUUCUGAUGUUAGCGGCGGACGGGUGAGUAACACGUGGAUAACCUACCUAUAAGACUGGGAUAACUUCGGGAAACCGGCGCUAAUACCGGAUACUAUUUUGAACCGCAUGGUUCAAAAGUGAAAGACGGUCUUGCUGUCACUUAUAGAUGGAUCCGCGCUGCAUUAGCUAGUUGGUAAGGUAACGGCUUACCAAGGCAACGAUGCAUAGCCGACCUGAGAGGGUGAUCGGCCACACUGGAACUGAGACACGGGCCAGACUCCUACGGGAGGCAGCAGGAGGGAAGCUUCCGCAAUGGGCGAAAGCCUGACGGAGCAACGCCGCGUGAGUGAUGAAGGUCUUCGGAUCGUAAAACUCUGUUAUUAGGGAAGAACAUAUGUGUAAGUAACUGUGCACAUCUUGACGGUACCUAAUCAGAAAGCCACGGCUAACUACGUG